Molecule: ribosomal RNA, 620 nt
Filed under: Huonia epinephela
Lineage: Eukaryota; Metazoa; Arthropoda; Insecta; Odonata; Libellulidae
Description: partial 12S ribosomal RNA
Source: RNAcentral
GAUAAAUUAAUUAUUUUUAGUUUAUGUAGUUGAAAUUAAAUAUUUCUUUAAUUAUAAUAUUUUUAGGUGAAAUUUUAAUAUUAUUGGAAAGAUUAUGUUGAAGCUAUUAAAUUUAUUAUUAAAACAAGGAUUAGAUACCCCUUUUAUAUUAAAUGUAAAUAUUAACUAGGGUAGUAAUAGUUAUGUUCUUGAAACCCAAAGAAUUUGGCGGUAUUUUAUUCUUUUUAGAGGAACCUGUCCUUUAAUUGAUAGUUCACGAUAGAGAAUUACUUGUUUUUGUAUUCAGUUUGUAUACCUCCGUCAUAAGAUUAUCUUUUUAGAGUUAAUAUUCUAUUAAUAUGAAGUAAGAAAUGUCAGGUCAAGGUGCAACUUAUAAAUAAGUAGAGAUGGGUUACAAUAAAUUUAUUUAUACGGAAUUAUAUUAUUAUUAAUAUAAUGAAGGAGGAUUUAAAAGUAAAAUUUUUCUUUUUAAGUUUGAUUUAAGCUCUAAAGUAUGCACACAUCGCCCGUCACUCUUAUUUUAAAAUAAGAUAAGUCGUAACAUAGUAGAGGUACCGGAAGGUGUCUCUAGAAAGUAUCAAAUUAGAGCUAGAUAGAAAGCGUUCCACUUACACUGGAGU